RNAcentral lists this non-coding RNA (108 nucleotides) under Pedobacter antarcticus. RNAcentral describes it as "Sphingobacterium antarcticus SAM-I sequence". It matches the Rfam family "SAM riboswitch aptamer (S box leader)". Rfam says of the family: The SAM riboswitch is found upstream of a number of genes which code for proteins involved in methionine or cysteine biosynthesis in Gram-positive bacteria. The SAM riboswitch acts at the level of transcription termination control. RNAcentral also lists the same sequence under 1 other name. The record is from RNAcentral. Lineage: Bacteria; Pseudomonadati; Bacteroidota; Sphingobacteriia; Sphingobacteriales; Sphingobacteriaceae.
AACUUAUCAAGAAAGGUGGAGGGAAUGGCCCUUUGAAGCCUUAGCAACCGUCCGUGAAAAUGGAAAUGGUGCUAAUUCCAUCCCGGGACAGCCCGGGGUAGUUAAGUC